AUGGAAGAUCUCGUCCUGGUAUACCACAUCACCGCGGCAACCAAAUGGCCCAAGGAACUCCGCCCACUCCUGCAGGAGAAGAAGCUGUACACCUUUGUUGGCUUCUCCUUUGGAGGUGACAAGGAGAAGCUGAAGUUGUCUGGUUUGGAGAUCAACCCCGACAACCUCAUCCACCCAUCCUACAAGGAAAUGAAGGGGAAGAUCAACAAGAAAUUGGACCACAAACGCUGGGGGGAUAGCCCACCGCCAAACAACCUCAUCGAGUACACAGCGAAAGAUGCGUACGUCACCUACGAGGCAUGGAAGAAAAUCGAAACCGUCAAAGAAGGUUUGGAGCAAUGGCAAGAGGCGGAGGAAAAUUGGGAUGACCCCUACUACUGGGGAUAUUGA
This 390-nucleotide ribosomal RNA is filed under the name Triticum aestivum (bread wheat). RNAcentral's name for it is "partial small subunit ribosomal RNA". Lineage: Eukaryota; Viridiplantae; Streptophyta; Magnoliopsida; Poales; Poaceae. The record is from RNAcentral.